Long non-coding RNA from Symphalangus syndactylus (siamang), 1116 nucleotides. RefSeq lists it as uncharacterized. The record is from RefSeq and is a predicted model, not a curated record. Lineage: Eukaryota; Metazoa; Chordata; Mammalia; Primates; Hylobatidae.
UCUAGUCCUAAGAAAAGCAUAAGGUGUUUCCUUACUUGAAGCCAUCUUCCUCUAUGAGUUCUAUACAAACCCUCAGUUAGUAGAGUGGGUCCCAUUAGCAAUCAACUUGAGCAACUUUUAUUUGCUGACUGAAUGUAGAUAUGCCUCAAUUGUUGACUGCUUUUGUAAUGAAAUACUCCUCUCCUGUCUUCCAAUGAGUGCUAAUUUUUGUCUGCAACUUGACCAUAGCAGUCCCUGGGGCCCUAGCUCUACUCUCAAUAAAGAAUUAUGGCUGUGUGUCUUGAAUCACACCUUAGGACCCAUCCUGCCUCCACCUCUUUCUCCAUAGAAUAGAAACCUAACUUCUCCCUCCAAGUUCUGAAAUGCUGAAACUUACCAAUUCUUUUUCUCCCCUCUGUUUCUUCCUUCCAUGGCAAGGACUUUCAGAUUUUCUCUCUUUUACUGACAAAGCAUUAAGCAUGAUUUUGUCAUACAAAAUAGCCAUAAAGUGGGGUACCACAGUCCUAAUUCAAUAAAGAUGAAUAUUCAACAUCUGGCAAUCAGUAUGUGCCUGACAGUGUUCUAACUACGCUAUGCUCAUUUAACCCUCAGAACAAUCUCAUUUUACAGGUUUUACAGAAGACAUUGAAAUGGAGAGGUAAGUUAUCUCCCCAGGGUCACACGACUGCUCAGGCUGGGGCCACGAUUUGAUCCCAGAGAAUAGAGAAUGCAACUGAAGCUAUGGGCAUGGAAGUGAUUACCUUGAGAAGUUGUGUAUAGUAAGAAGAACUGGGAAGAAAAAAAAAACCUGGAGAAUAGGGUGAUUUCCACGGCAUUAAGUGAAGCUUGCCAAAGUGAGCACUGGGAGUCAAGAGACCUGCAUAUAAAUCAGGAAUGGCUGCCUCUGGAAAAAGCCAAAAGAGAAAAUACAUUUUUGAGUUUAAAAGAGAAGGGAGAACGAAUGCACAAGGGCCCCCAAAAGGCACAAGUGCAUGCAAUCCGGAUCAGGGCAGAUUAGCUUUGGACUUCUACAAAAGCAAGAUGGGAGAAAGGACCAUGUCAUUCCAGAGAUAUUUCUGGUAGAGGAAAGGUUUAGGAAGAGAUCUUUUGAUGACCUUUAUUUUAAUAGACUUUUCA